UCUCCGUUGGUGAACCAGCGGAGGGAUCAUUACAGAGUUAUCUAACUCCCAAACCCAUGUGAACUUACCAUUUGUUGCCUCGGCAGAGCCUACCCGGUAACUGUUCGGAGAAGCUACCCUGUAGCUACCCUGUAACGGCCUACCCUGUAACGCACUGCCGGUGGACUUUUAAACUCUUGAUAUAUUAUAGUAAUCUGAGCUUCUUAUUUUAAUAAGUCAAAAAUAUCAACAACGGAUCUCUUGGUUCUGGCUUCGAUGAAGAACGCAGC
Molecule: unclassified non-coding RNA, 269 nt
Filed under: uncultured fungus
Lineage: Eukaryota; Fungi
Description: sequence contains ITS1, 5.8S rRNA gene
Rfam family: 5.8S ribosomal RNA (bases 221-269)
Source: RNAcentral